CUCAUUUUAUCAAUCAUCGACUUCUCAAAAUAUGAAAACUCAAAAACUCAUAUAAACUAAACUAAGUCAAAAAUUUUCUUAGCCAACAAAAGACUUACUCAAAUAUAAUUAUACACUAAUAUCAUGCUCAAAUACAUAUAUCUUAAGCCAAAAUCACUUAAAUAACACUUAGGCAAAAAGUCCUAAUUUUUAUUAAACUAAACUCUUUUGAAAAUAUCACUAAUCAUGUAUAACCUAUUGAUCAAAUCAUAGAUCUAACAUCCUAGGUUACCAAUUAGCACAAAUCAACAUCAUAAAACAAGAUCACAUAUAGAUACACAUGUAUGUCAUCUUCUUCCUCAAACUAACACUUUUCAUUUUUCACCUCUCAACCUCAAGCUUCAAUCUCAUCCAUCAUUAAUCAUCUAGAUCAUCUCAUAAACUCAAAUCCAUCAUCAAUACAUCAAUUGAUUCAUAGGAUCUCAACAUCCCAAUUUUAGGUAAACUAACCUAAUAGAAAAAUCUAUAUCUCAUGGCUAAUCAUCAAGAUAUUCAUAUAUAUAUUAACUCAAUAAUCAUCAAUCAUCAUAUAAAUCAUCGACUCACAAUUUCCCAAUUUUUUUUGUAAACUAAACUCAAUCGACUUUCACAUCUCAAAGCAUAUACUUUCACAACACACAUCAAUCAUCAACAAACACCACAUAGAUCUCAUUUUUUUUUCCCAAAUCAAGGAAAGAAAAAGAAAAUUUUUGAAGGGUAAAGACCCAUUUUUUGAAAAUUUUAAGAACAAGGGAGAGGUGAUUUUCUUUCUUCAUACAACAUCAUUCAAGCAAGAUUUAUGGAAUAUAUGACCACUUACCCAAAUUUCUCACCAAAACUCACAUUUUCUCACUCUAGCUUGGAAGCCUUUCUUCAAUGAUUCUCUUGAAUAUAAGUAGCUAGGAUGUGUUUAUGGAAGAUUUUAGAGUGGAUUGAGGUGUUUUGUAAAAUUUUUGGAAGCUCCGAAGGUCUCUUCAAUGGAGGAAAAUGGAGGAAAGUGAGAGAAAGAGGGAGAGAGGUGUUGGUCGAAAAUGAUGAGUGAGUAGUGAGAGAGGAUUUUGCAAGAUUGUAAAUGAUCUUGUGAUCUUUAAAGAGGAUUUUGUAAUCUUAAGGAAAUAUUGACAAUUAAUGCCUUGAUCUCUCUCUCUCUAAUCUCUACACUAUCUCUCUAAUCUCUACACUCUCUUCAAUAAUCUCUACACUUGGCAAAUUGUGGUAUUUAGUCACAUGGUAGGGAAAUUAAAGUAAUAGUGUGAGAAGGGUGAUCAAAAAUAAAU
RNAcentral lists this long non-coding RNA (1295 nucleotides) under Salvia miltiorrhiza (redroot sage). RNAcentral's name for it is "long non-coding RNA (SMIL_LNC008703)". Lineage: Eukaryota; Viridiplantae; Streptophyta; Magnoliopsida; Lamiales; Lamiaceae. The record is from RNAcentral.